GUAGCCUAAGAAUAAGGAUCGGCUAACUCCGUGCCAGCAGCCGCGGUAAUACGGAGGAUACGAGCGUUAUCCGGAUUUAUUGGGUUUAAAGGGUGCGUAGGUGGCUGAUUAAGUCAGUGGUGAAAAGCUAUGGCUCAACCAUAGUCUUGCCGUUGAUACUGGUUAGCUUGAGUGUAGAUGAUGUAGGCGGAAUGCGUAGUGUAGCGGUGAAAUGCAUAGAUAUUACGCAGAACUCCGAUUGCGAAGGCAGCUUACAAAACUACUACUGACACUGAGGCACGAAAGCGUGGGUAUCAAACAGGAUUAGAUACCCUGGUAGUCCACGCCGUAAACUAUGAUUACUCAGAGUAUGCGAUAUACAGUAUGCUCUCAAGCGAAAGCAUUAAGUAAUCCACCUGGGGAGUACGUCGGCAACGAUGAAACUCAAA
RNAcentral lists this ribosomal RNA (428 nucleotides) under uncultured bacterium. RNAcentral describes it as "bacterial SSU rRNA". It matches the Rfam family "Bacterial small subunit ribosomal RNA", at positions 475 to 905 of the family's 1533-position model. The record is from RNAcentral.